This is a long non-coding RNA of Cygnus olor (mute swan), 2121 nucleotides long. RefSeq lists it as uncharacterized. The transcript is spliced from 4 exons. The record is from RefSeq and is a predicted model, not a curated record. NCBI's taxonomy places the organism in Eukaryota, Metazoa, Chordata, Aves, Anseriformes, Anatidae.
GAUGAAGCUAGGGAACCGUUGAAUGCAUGACCUUGUGCUGGAGGCACGGAGGCAGGGGCUCAAGCACGACACCAGCCUGCGGCCCACUGCUGUGGUGUUCCUGUGGGGCACAGGCCUCUCUUCCUCUCCUAUCUGGCCUCCCUGCUUGUGUUUAGAAGGAAAUGGUCCAUUUCAAAGGGUUGGGCCCGUUGCUUCUCCAGAUGCUCACUUACAUCUGCCCACUUCUGAGUUGAAAGCGCUCCUGGUAUAUGCAGAUGCUGUUACAGCUCUUUGGGAACUACAGUUUGCUGAAACUUUGGAAAAGGACAAGUAGAUGCUGAAUAUCAGAUCCAGAGCGAAGGAGCAGGCAUUCAUGGGAUUUGUUUUGAAGAAGAACAUCCUUAAGAAAAUGAAUCAAAGGCUUCAGAAGGCUGUGCAGCAGAGAGGUUACCUUUUAUCUCCCCCAAACCUCCUUUUCAGCUAUUUCAAGACUUUCAUAAGUUUUAAGAAAUUGCUUUAAAAUGUUUUUAAGUAUGUAAGGAAACUAGGAGAUUAGAGACAAUUAAAUAAUGCAUAAAUAUCAGUGGAAAAUAACCCAUUAAAACAUGAAUUACAUUUUGAGUUUUCUGUAUAUUGUAUUCUCUUCAGAUUUUCAAAGCAAAAAGGUACACUGCAACAUUUAUUCCAAUACAUUUUUAAGCACAUGCAACACUGGUGUCCUAUUUGUACAUUGAUUUCUAAUGCUGUCCAAGAACCUUUACAUUAAAAGCAUACAAGAACUCACACACACGUGCAUGUAUUCCUUCUAGCAUCAGUUGUGAAGAAAACUUAAAUUUUUCCUUGAGAAACCAAAUGUCAGUUCUGCAAGUACAUUUGAUUAAUAAUCCUCCAGCUAUUCUGAACUAAUUCCUAAUCUAAAAGCCUCGCAGUCAUUUGCAGUUUGGAUCUGAAAUAGUUGUUGUUCAUCGGAUUGCAAUGUUUGAUUGAAAUUGUUCAAAACAGUCCAAGUUUGCAGCACUAAAGACAAAAAAUACAUUCUUAUUUAAAAACAUGCUCAAUGCAGAUGAAGGAUCACAUGGAGAUGCUAACAUUUAAAACAUAAAAUUGCUAAAACACAACCACAUAUAGACUAGAAAACGUUGCAGUUCUUUAAAGGUUUCUCAUUCAUUGAAUAAUUCAUAAAAUUAUACAGUCAGCCUUUUUUUCUGACUUAAAUAUUUAGGCCAACUUACAAUAAUAAUAAUAAAAAGCUAAAAUGACUCCUUGUAAAAGAAUGACGAUUGUUUAAAAUAAAUACAUAUUUUAAGAUAUUGCUCUGAGACUAUGUCCAUCACAUUCCACUAGAUGUCAGCGUUAGAACCAGCUUCUUCAGACUUUACAGAAUGAGUCCACUGCAUUUGUUUUUGUUACCUUGUCUUUGAUACACAGUACAUGUCAACUACAUUAAUAACUAAGCGUAUAUUUAUGGUAGUAAAUUGAACCAAAAAUAACAGUCUCAUUUCAUUGACCCUCCACUCACCCCUACCAUUUACUGGAUUUGAACAAAGGUCUUCAAAUCAGUUUCAUGAUGACAAUAGUGUUUUUAAGUGAGAUGUAAAUCAUUUCAGUUUUUCUAACUACUUCUCCUAAUGCAGAGAUAUGGGCUUCUCACUUUAGAAGACAGCACAAUGAGCUCUUUUUGUCAGAUACUGUAAUUCCUGGAAGAUAAAGCUCUUUGUGUUAAAUACAGUGUAGUUGAUCUAUGUUGAAAAUUAUAAGGCACGUGCUUUAUUAUUAUUAUUUUUUAAUCCCAUGUCCUGAAGUACUGUUACUAUCUUGCUAUUCUGGAUGUUCCAUCAUAGUUACUGUUUUUUUUUCAUGGUUUUGGACACAAGGAAUGAAAGACCAUGAAAUGCAUGAAAAUACAAAAAACAAGAACAAGACAAAACACAACAAUGUACACUACCACAGCAAUGAGCAAAUCUUCUCAUUUCUUUGACCAACAAAGCAUUGACAACUGCAAAGCACUCUUGGUUUUGCUCUGUAAAUACCUGACUUUAUUUAGAUAUACAGGUGUUUAUCACUAGAUUGCCACAGUAGCUGAAAUAAAACAAAGGCUGUUUCCUUUUCUUUUUUUUUUCUUUCUGCUAUGUUUCUUAACAA